UACGUAGGUGGCGAGCGUUGUCCGGAUUUACUGGGCGUAAAGGAUGCGUAGGCGGAUAUUUAAGUGAGAUGUGAAAUACCCGAGCUUAACUUGGGUGCUGCAUUUCAAACUGGAUAUCUAGAGUGCGGGAGAGGAGAAUGGAAUUCCUAGUGUAGCGGUGAAAUGCGUAGAGAUUAGGAAGAACACCAGUGGCGAAGGCGAUUCUCUGGACCGUAACUGACGCUGAGGCAUGAAAGCGUGGGUAGCAAACAGGAUUAGAUACCCUGUAGUCCACGCGUAAACGAUGAGUACUAGUGUAGGAGGUAUCGACUCCUUCUGUGCCGCCAGUUAACACAAUAAGUAACUCCGCCUCGGAAGGU
Molecule: ribosomal RNA, 359 nt
Filed under: uncultured sludge bacterium
Lineage: Bacteria
Description: bacterial SSU rRNA
Rfam family: Bacterial small subunit ribosomal RNA
Source: RNAcentral